This 203-nucleotide ribosomal RNA is filed under the name Neoconocephalus melanorhinus. RNAcentral describes it as "partial 5.8S ribosomal RNA". The stretch from base 149 to 203 matches the Rfam family "5.8S ribosomal RNA", at positions 1 to 55 of the family's 154-position model. Lineage: Eukaryota; Metazoa; Arthropoda; Insecta; Orthoptera; Tettigoniidae. The record is from RNAcentral.
GCACCCGUCGCUUCGGCGACGGGGAGGUUUUCAAAGAACACUUGUGUCGCCCGUGCUCGAACCAAUUUUGAAUUMUUUUUCUUAUCACGCUGUGACUGGAUCCAAGCAAAGUAUUCUCUGCCAAGAGAAUUGUAAUUGAAAGGAAAACAACCCUGAACGGUGGAUCACUCGGCUCGUGGGUCGAUGAAGAACGCAGCAAAUUG